GGAGAGAUGGUAGAGUGGUCGAUUACAACGGUCUUGAAAACCGUCGCACUGAGAGGUGCCGGGGGUUCGAAUCCCUCUCUCUCCGCAA
Molecule: transfer RNA, 88 nt
Filed under: Hoylesella buccalis
Lineage: Bacteria; Pseudomonadati; Bacteroidota; Bacteroidia; Bacteroidales; Prevotellaceae
Also listed under: 7 other names
Description: Prevotella buccalis tRNA-Ser
Rfam family: tRNA
About the family: Transfer RNA (tRNA) molecules are approximately 80 nucleotides in length.
Source: RNAcentral